RNAcentral lists this long non-coding RNA (2809 nucleotides) under Xyrichtys novacula (pearly razorfish). The record is from RNAcentral. Lineage: Eukaryota; Metazoa; Chordata; Actinopteri; Labriformes; Labridae.
UUUGGCCAGUUUGAAGGUUUUUGACCAUGUGUAAUGGCAUGAAUGCGUUAAGCUGUUGUUUUAGUGUUCUUUUGAUGAGUUUGGCUUGUUGUUAUGAAAAGUGUUUGUUUAAGCGAGUUUGAACGUUUUUGAGCAUGUGUAAUGGCAUGAAUGCGUUAAGCUGUUGUUUUAGUGUUCGUUUGAUGAGUUUGGCUUGUUGUUAUGAACAUUUUUCGUUUUGGCCAGUUUGAAGGUUUUUUGAGCAUGUGUAAUGGCAUAAAAGUGUGAAGCUGUUGUUUUAGUGUUCUUUUGAUGAGUUUGGCUUGUUGUUAUGAGCAUUGUUUGUUUUGGCGAGUUUGAAGGUUUUUUAGCAUGUGUAAUGGCAUGAAUGUGUGAAGCUGUUGUUUUAGUGUUCUUUUGAUGAGUUUGGCUUGUUGUUAUGAAAAGUGUUUGUUUUGGCGAGUUUGAACGUUUUUGAGCAUGUGUAAUGGCAUGAAUGCGUUAAGCUGUUGUUUUAGUGUUCUUUUGAUGAGUUUGGCUUGUUGUUAUGAACAUUGUUCGUUUUGGCCAGUUUGAAGGUUUUUUAGCAUGUGUAAUGGCAUGAAUGUGUUGAAUUAGUAAUCCCUUGUGUUAAGCCGUUGUUUUAGUGUUCUUUUGAUGAGUUUGGCUUGUUGUUAUGAAAAGUGUUUGUUUUGGCGAGUUUGAACGUUUUUGAGCAUGUGUAAUGGCAUGAAUGCGUUAAGCUGUUGUUUUAGUGUUCUUUUGAUGAGUUUGGCUAGUUGUUAUGAAAAGUGUUUGUUUUGGCGAGUUUGAACGUUUUUGAGCAUGUGUAAUGGCAUGAAUGCGUUAAGCUUUUGUUUUAGUGUUCUUUUGAUGAGUUUGGCUUGUUGAUAUGAAAAGUGUUUGUUUUGGCGAGUUUGAACGUUUUUGAGCAUGUGUAAUGGCAUGAAUGCGUUAAGCUGUUGUUUUAGUGUUCUUUUGAUGAGUUUGGCUUGUUGUUAUGAACAUUGUUCGUUUUGGCCAGUUUGAAGGUUUUUGAGCAUGUGUAAUGGCAUGAAUGCGUUAAGCUGUUGUUUUAGUGUUCUUUUGAUGAGUUUGGCUUGUUGUUAUGAAAAGUGUUUGUUUUGGCGAGUUUGAACGUUUUUGAGCAUGUGUAAUGGCAUGAAUGCGUUAAGCUGUUGUUUUAGUGUUCUUUUGAUGAGUUUGGAUUGUUGUUAUGACAAGUGUUUGUUUUGGCGAGUUUGAACGUUUUUGAGCAUGUGUAAUGGCAUGAAUGCGUUAAGCUGUUGUUUUAGUGUUCUUUUGAUGAGUUUGGCUUGUUGUUAUGAACAUUGUUCGUUUUGGCCAGUUUGAAGGUUUUUUAGCAUGUGUAAUGGCAUGAAUGUGUUGAAUUAGUAAUCCCUUGUGUUAAGCCGUUGUUUUAGUGUUCUUUUGAUGAGUUUGGCUUGUUGUUAUGAAAAGUGUUUGUUUUGGCGAGUUUGAACGUUUUUGAGCAUGUGUAAUGGCAUGAAUGCGUUAAGCUGUUGUUUUAGUGUUCUUUUGAUGAGUUUGGCUAGUUGUUAUGAAAAGUGUUUGUUUUGGCGAGUUUGAACGUUUUUGAGCAUGUGUAAUGGCAUGAAUGCGUUAAGCUUUUGUUUUAGUGUUCUUUUGAUGAGUUUGGCUUGUUGAUAUGAAAAGUGUUUGUUUUGGCGAGUUUGAACGUUUUUGAGCAUGUGUAAUGGCAUGAAUGCGUUAAGCUGUUGUUUUAGUGUUCUUUUGAUGAGUUUGGCUUGUUGUUAUGAACAUUGUUCGUUUUGGCCAGUUUGAAGGUUUUUGAGCAUGUGUAAUGGCAUGAAUGCGUUAAGCUGUUGUUUUAGUGUUCUUUUGAUGAGUUUGGCUUGUUGUUAUGAAAAGUGUUUGUUUUGGCGAGUUUGAACGUUUUUGAGCAUGUGUAAUGGCAUGAAUGCGUUAAGCUGUUGUUUUAGUGUUCUUUUGAUGAGUUUGGAUUGUUGUUAUGACAAGUGUUUGUUUUGGCGAGUUUGAACGUUUUUGAGCAUGUGUAAUGGCAUGAAUGCGUUAAGCUGUUGUUUUAGUGUUCUUUUGAUGAGUUUGGCUUGUUGUUAUGAAAAGUGUUUGUUUUGGCGAGUUUGAACGUUUUUGAGCAUGUGUAAUGCAUGAAUGCGUUAAGCUGUUGUUUUAGUGUUCUUUUGAUGAGUUUGGCUUGUUGUUAUGAACAUUGUUCGUUUUGGCCAGUUUGAAGGUUUUUGAGCAUGUGUAAUGGCAUGAAUGCGUUAAGCUGUUGUUUUAGUGUUCUUUUGAUGAGUUUGGCUUGUUGUUAUGAAAAGUGUUUGUUUUGGCGAGUUUGAAGGUUUUUGAGCAUGUGUAAUGGCAUGAAUGCGUUAAGCUGUUGUUUUAGUGUUCUUUUGAUGAGUUUGGCUUGUUGUUAUGAACAUUGUUCGUUUUGGCCAGUUUGAAGGUUUUUUAGCAUGUGUAAUGGCAUGAAUGUGUUGAAUUAGUAAUCCCUUGUGUUAAGCCGUUGUUUUAGUGUUCUUCUGAUGAGUUUGGCUUGUUGUUAUGAAAAGUUUUUGUUUUAGCGAGUUUGAACGUUUUUGAGCAUGUGUAAUGGCAUGAAUGCGUUAAGCUGUUGUUUUAGUAUUCUUUUGAUGAGUUUGGCUUGUUGUUAUGAAAAAUGUUUGUUUUGGCGAGUUUGAACGUUUUUGAGCAUGUGUAAUGGCAUGAAUGCGUUAAGCUGUUGUUUUAGUAUUCUUUUGAUGAGUUUGGCUUGUUGUUAUGAAAAAUGUUUGUUUUGGCGAGUUUGAACGUUUUUGAGCAUGUGUAAUGGCAUGAAUGC